CAGUAGCCACGGUAAUACGAAGGGGGCUAGCGUUGCUCGGAAUUACUGGGCGUAAAGGGCGCGUAGGCGGACAGUUCAGUCGGGGGUGAAAGCCCGGGGCUCAACCUCGGAAUUGCCUUCGAUACUGGCUGUCUUGAGUAUGAGAGAGGUGUGUGGAACUCCGAGUGUAGAGGUGAAAUUCGUAGAUAUUCGGAAGAACACCAGUGGCGAAGGCGACACACUGGCUCAUUACUGACGCUGAGGCGCGAAAGCGUGGGGAGCAAACAGGAUUAGAUACCCGUGUAGUCCCUGUCUCUUAUAA
Molecule: ribosomal RNA, 301 nt
Filed under: uncultured bacterium
Lineage: Bacteria
Description: partial 16S ribosomal RNA
Rfam family: Bacterial small subunit ribosomal RNA
Source: RNAcentral